Molecule: long non-coding RNA, 417 nt
Filed under: Lathyrus oleraceus (garden pea)
Lineage: Eukaryota; Viridiplantae; Streptophyta; Magnoliopsida; Fabales; Fabaceae
Description: Pisum sativum (pea) long non-coding RNA (PSAT_LNC004376)
Source: RNAcentral
GCAAACGCAAACCUCUCUCCUCUCUCAGUCCAUUUAUGUCUUGCUCCCUCCGUCGUGCCGAAGGCCUCUCUGACGGCGGAGGCACUCAUAAAUCCAAAACAAGAAGAAUGUUUGAACCGAAAUCAUGCGCUGAAACCAAAAAUGCAAACGGAUUCUUCUAAUUCUUCAAGAACCAUGCAAGUCGAAGAUAAAAAUGGAAGAACCCUAAGUAAUCAAAGCCAAAUUAAGUAGCGCACGUUCACGGGAUUCACAUUCAAACCAUGAGGCUAAUGACGCCAAGUGUUUCUUCUACACAAUGGUAACUAUUUCAUAGAAAAUAGGAGUGAAACACAAUUUACCUCCGAAACAGAGAACUGUUUUGAUGAAUGUUGAAACGGAGAAGACGGAGGCGCAGCGGAAAGUCAUUUGAAACACAGG